This 301-nucleotide ribosomal RNA is filed under the name uncultured bacterium. RNAcentral's name for it is "partial 16S ribosomal RNA". It matches the Rfam family "Bacterial small subunit ribosomal RNA", at positions 509 to 807 of the family's 1533-position model. The record is from RNAcentral.
CAGCCGCCACGGUAAUACAGAGGAUGCAAGCGUUAUCCGGAAUGAUUGGGCGUAAAGCGUCUGUAGGUGGCUUUUCAAGUCCGCCGUCAAAUCCCAGGGCACAACCCUAGACAGGCGGUGGAAACUACCAAGCUGGAGUACGGUAGGGGCAGAGGGAAUUUCCAGUGGAGCGGUGAAAUGCGUUGAGAUCGAAAAGAACACCAACAGCGAAAGCACUCUGCUGGGACGACACUGACACUGAGAGACGAAAGCUAGGGGAGCAAAUGGGAUUAGAUACCCCAGUAGUCCCUGUCUCUUAUAC